Molecule: long non-coding RNA, 247 nt
Organism: Rhododendron vialii
Lineage: Eukaryota; Viridiplantae; Streptophyta; Magnoliopsida; Ericales; Ericaceae
Exons: 3
Source: RefSeq, a predicted model, not a curated record
GAGAGAGAGAGAGAUCAGCCGGUGGAGAAGAAGAAGAAAGAAGGAAAGAAAGGAGGAAAUAGGUGACGAGUCGGUGAAUCAAGGAGCACCGAAACCAUAGUUGUACUUUCUUUUGGAGUACGAGUUUUGCAGGCAUUGUAGAUAUCCACUGCUGAUCGUCGUGGGGUUGUACGCUCGCUUAGGGUAGCAUGUUGGGAAGGCUGGACUAGUUUUGGCAAAAUUUUGUAGAUAGGGAUGUAGUUGCAGC